RNAcentral lists this ribosomal RNA (499 nucleotides) under uncultured bacterium. RNAcentral describes it as "bacterial SSU rRNA". It matches the Rfam family "Bacterial small subunit ribosomal RNA", at positions 791 to 1297 of the family's 1533-position model. The record is from RNAcentral.
UAGUCCACGCCGUAAACGAUGGUCACUAGCUGUUUGGACUUCGGUCUGAGUGGCUAAGCGAAAGUGAUAAGUGACCCACCUGGGGAGUACGUUCGCAAGAAUGAAACUCAAAGGAAUUGACGGGGGCCCGCACAAGCGGUGGAGCAUGUGGUUUAAUUCGAUGAUACGCGAGGAACCUUACCAGGGCUUAAAUGUAAGUUGCAUUAGCUAGAGAUAGCUAUUUCUUCGGACCACUUACAAGGUGCUGCAUGGUUGUCGUCAGCUCGUGCCGUGAGGUGUCAGGUUAAGUCCUGCAACGAGCGCAACCCUUGUCUUUAGUUGCCAUCAUUCAGUUGGGCACUCUAAAGAGACUGCCGGUGACAAACCGGAGGAAGGUAAGGAUGACGUCAAGUCAGCAUGCCCCUUACGCCCUGGGCCACACACGUGCUACAAUGGUCGUGACAAAGGGUCGCUAAUCUGCAAAGACAUGCUAAUCUCAUAAACACGGCCUCAGUUCGGA